UACGGAGGGUGCAAACGUUGCUCGGAAUCAUUGGGCGUAAAGCGCACGUAGGCGGACCGCUAAGUCGGAUGUGAAAGCCCUCGGCUUAACCGAGGAAGUGCAUUCGAAACUGACGGUCUUGAGUAUGGAAGAGGGUCGCGGAAUUCCCGGUGUAGAGGUGAAAUUCGUAGAUAUCGGGAGGAACACCAGUGGCGAAGGCGGCGACCUGGGCCAAUACUGACGCUGAGGUGCGAAAGCAUGGGGAGCGAACAGG
Molecule: ribosomal RNA, 253 nt
Filed under: uncultured bacterium
Lineage: Bacteria
Description: partial 16S ribosomal RNA
Rfam family: Bacterial small subunit ribosomal RNA
Source: RNAcentral